AUACGGAGGAUCCAAGCGUUAUCUGGAAUCAUUGGGUUUAAAGGGUCCGUAGGCGGGUUUGUAAGUCAGUGGUGAAAGUUUUCGGCUCAACCGGAAAAUUGCCAUUGAUACUGCAAGUCUUGAAUCAUUAUGAAGUGGUUAGAAUGUGUAGUGUAGCGGUGAAAUGCAUAGAUAUUACACAGAAUACCGAUUGCGAAGGCAGAUCACUAAUAAUGUAUUGACGCUAAGGGACGAAAGCGUGGGUAGCGAACAGGAUUAGAAACCCGGGUAGUCC
Molecule: ribosomal RNA, 274 nt
Filed under: uncultured bacterium
Lineage: Bacteria
Description: partial 16S ribosomal RNA
Rfam family: Bacterial small subunit ribosomal RNA
Source: RNAcentral